ACGGCUCAGUAACACGUUGCUAAUCUACCCUUAGAUCGCGAAUAACCUCGGGAAACUGAGGAUAAAGCGCGGUAGGAGAUAAUAUCUGGAAUGAUUUUUCUCUGAAACUUUGGUCUAAGGAUGAGGCUGCGGUGGAUUAGGUAGUUGGCGGGGUAAAUGCCCACCAAGCCUAUGAUCCAUAAGGGCUCUUAGCGGAGAGGCCCUGAGAGGGAAUCUGAGACACUAUUCCCACCCCUACGGGGGGCAGCAGUUAGGGAAAUUUUCCAAUGCGCGUAAGCGUGGGAAAGCGAGCCAGAGUGUUCUUCAUUUUUUUGAAGAACUUUUGCGGAAUGUAAAAAGUUCCGAGAAUAAGGACUGGGCAAGACCGGUGCCAGCCGCCGCGGUAAUCCCGGCGGUCCAAGUCGCAGCCACAAUUAUUGGGUCUAAAACAUUCGUAGCUUGUUUUGUAAGUCUCUUGUGAAAUCUGAAAUCUUAAAUUUCAGGCGUGCAAGAGAUACUACAAAACUUGGGACUGGAAGAAGCAAAGAGUACAAUCGAGGUAGCGGUAAAAUGUGUUAAUCUCGAUUGGACUAACAACAGCGAAGGCACUUUGCUAGUACAGAUCUGACAGUGAGGAAUGAAGGCUAGGGUCGCGAAACGGAUUAGAUACCCGUGUAGUCCUAGCAGUAAACACUGCUCACUAAACAUUGGUGCCUCCUCGAGAGGCGUCAGUGCUGCAGCGAAGGCGAAGAGUGA
Molecule: ribosomal RNA, 735 nt
Filed under: uncultured euryarchaeote
Lineage: Archaea; Methanobacteriati; Methanobacteriota
Description: bacterial SSU rRNA
Rfam family: Archaeal small subunit ribosomal RNA
Source: RNAcentral